This 253-nucleotide ribosomal RNA is filed under the name uncultured bacterium. RNAcentral describes it as "partial 16S ribosomal RNA". It matches the Rfam family "Bacterial small subunit ribosomal RNA", at positions 524 to 776 of the family's 1533-position model. The record is from RNAcentral.
UACAGAGGUCCCAAGCGUUGUUCGGAUUCAUUGGGCGUAAAGGGUGCGUAGGCGGCGCGGUAAGUCGUGUGUGAAAUCUCGGAGCUUAACUCCGAAACUGCAUUCGAUACUGCCGUGCUUGAGGACUGGAGAGGAGACUGGAAUUUACGGUGUAGCGGUGAAAUGCGUAGAUAUCGUAAGGAAGACCAGUGGCGAAGGCGGGUCUCUGGACAGUUCCUGACGCUGAGGCACGAAGGCCAGGGGAGCAAACGGG